AGGGUUUGUUGUUGGGUUUUGUUC
RNAcentral lists this non-coding RNA (24 nucleotides) under Arabidopsis thaliana (thale cress). Lineage: Eukaryota; Viridiplantae; Streptophyta; Magnoliopsida; Brassicales; Brassicaceae. The record is from RNAcentral.